AGACAUUAGCGCGCCGUGUCCCUCCGUCCAUUUCCUCUGGGGACCUGUGUGGAAGAGUUCAGUUUUUUGCAAAAGCGGGGUUUUUAUUUGGACAUUGACAUCACAAGAAGAUUGCUGUUAUUCCAUGUUUCUGGCUGUGCUGGAAGUAGGUUAAUGCGAUUUAUUUUGAAAGCUCCAGAAAAGUCCGUACUGGCCUUUCAUUUUGUAACCCAUGGCUGUGGUCUCAACAAAACAAAUAGUCGUAUUUACUAUACUUAACCAAACCAAAUACUUGUAACAUCUAAAUGAUGUUUAAAUUUUACUAAAGGGCUCAGCAAGCACAGCAGAAAAAAGGGUGAGCGGUCACAUACUUGUGGAGCCUCCACACCAACGACAAGUUGAUUCCAUACGUCGCCACAAGGUGCUACUGUGCGCAGCCUGUCAUACAAUUUUUGGCCAUGCUGAGUUCUGCUCUGGCAAGAAGCAUUCCAAAUUUGGUCAAAAUCUGAUGGAAAUCCAGAUGGAAGCUGCACUUACUUGGAUAUUAGUGGGCGGUGCUAAAGUGAUAUCAAUUCACUGUGCCAACAUGUUCAGCAUUUGUCUAUAAUGAUGCAUACCAAAUUUGAAGUGGAUUCGAUGAUGUAUAAAGGAGAUAAAGUGUUGAUCCAAAUUCCAGUGUAAUCCAUUAGUUGUUUGGGGGACGACUAAGAAAAACAGCUUGCAAGAGUGAGAGGUUAAAAGGAGGACAUCCAACAGUGAAACAUUUGACUUCCUGUUCUAAGUGGGAGGGGCUAAAAUGAUGUCAUAAGUGUGUUGAGUAUUGUUCCACGAUGAUGUAUACCAAAUGUGAAGUGGAUCCAGUGAUAGAGCAGAUGGAGAUAGAUAGAGAUAAAGCGAUUUAAGCUUUCUAGGGGGCGAUGUUGAUCCAAAUUCCAAGGUAAUGUCAUAUCCACGGUGGUUGUGUGCAGGCUGGGUGCAGUCUGUGUUUUUUGUGCUGUGUUUCUCUCCUCCUACUCAGGAUGUGACUAGCAGGUGCUUCUGCGCAGCUGUUGCUCAUCAGUGAGCAAUCAACCUGGCCUUUAAGAGGAGUGGAGAACCAAAAGGAAGGCGUCAGCUCGUUGUCUCACAUAGCGUAGUAAACAGCUAGACCUCUGCUGCUCGGCAGUUAUUUCAACUGUUCUUCUGACCUAUUGUGUUUUCUCCUCUGCCUCUUAGGAAGACGUUUUUACCUGAGAUUCUAUGUAUUUUUUAUAUAAUAAAGUAUCUUUGAAUUGAAUUGAAUUUUUUGUGCCUCCGGUUAAUUCUUGCAAUGUUCUGAGUAUCAAGGAAAUUCAAGCCUUGACGUCUCGGCUGUGAGCCUCCACUCUGCCUCCAGGUUUCUAGAGUUUUGGUUCACCUGCUUCUGAGAACCUUCCACCUGCCUGUCCACCCUCCCAUGGCGAAUACCCCCUUUUAUGGAAAGAAUCGAAAAGAGAGAAACACUGUGUCUGAAGAACCAGGAAGCACUUUCUCUUCAGCUGCACCCGCCUGCCAACCUCAACCAUCGUGGAGCAGACUUAUUCCUCCCAGGCUUAGCUGAGAGCUCUGCCUUCUGAGAUCCCAAUCCUGCCUGCUGAUCCAGUCCUGGUUCCAGAUCACAAUUACUCCUGUAAAACCCAAUAAAUUGUUAAAGCGCUG
Molecule: long non-coding RNA, 1656 nt
Organism: Girardinichthys multiradiatus
Lineage: Eukaryota; Metazoa; Chordata; Actinopteri; Cyprinodontiformes; Goodeidae
Exons: 2
Source: RefSeq, a predicted model, not a curated record